CACCAUUGACCUUUGGCAAUUUUUUACCUCAAAAACUUCAAUCGAUGAACCAUGCAGAGACAAAUUCAUGCGAGAUUUCAGUGAUGGAGAAUGAAACAGUAUCACCUGUUGCUGUAAAGAGGUUACAAUUCACAAAUCUCGUUGCUGAGGAGGAUUUGAAGGAUAAUCGAUGACCAUGCAGAGACAAAUUCAUGCGAGAUUUCAGUGAUGGGGAAUGAAACAGUAUCACCUGUUGCUGUAAAGAGGUUACAAUUCACAAAUCUCGUUGCUGAGGAGGAUUUGAAGGAGUUGCAUGCGGAGAAAACUAAGCUUGGUGCAGAGGAGAUCUCAAAGGAGAUGCAUGUGGAGAAGAUAACUGCUGCAGAUGUGGUGCGAGGUAAUCGUGAUUCACAAAUGGGCAAACAACUAUCUUAUGUUCCUCCUAUUGAGCGAGAAGGAAAAAAAGUAGUUCAAAUUAGUGCUGAAGAUCUGCAAUCACAAGUGGAUUAUUGGCAAAAUUCACUGAUUGGAUUUGUGAUAGGUGAUAGACCUAAUGAGCAAUCUAUGGAAAAUUUUGUAAUCCAUGUGUGGAAUUUUGUUACUAAACCUCAGGUGCUUA
RNAcentral lists this long non-coding RNA (598 nucleotides) under Nicotiana benthamiana. Its description in RNAcentral is "long non-coding RNA (NBEN_LNC028665)". The record is from RNAcentral. Lineage: Eukaryota; Viridiplantae; Streptophyta; Magnoliopsida; Solanales; Solanaceae.